RNAcentral lists this long non-coding RNA (2261 nucleotides) under Struthio camelus australis. Its description in RNAcentral is "lncRNA (ENSSCUG00000003960.1)". The record is from RNAcentral. Lineage: Eukaryota; Metazoa; Chordata; Aves; Struthioniformes; Struthionidae.
CCCUGCAGCGGGCACCACGUGGCCCGGCCGCCCUCCAGACUGUGCCCCGUGCCGUGGGGACAGCGGACGUUUCUUAUGCAACUCUGUCACUGCAAGUCACCAGACCCAGCAGUAAAUCAGUGUCUCUGCACUCACUUGCUUCCAGGAUUUCUGCAUAAUGGCCAUUCCCCCCCCACUACUCUUUUCCUUUCAAGUGCAAAUUUGCCCCAUACUGCACUCCAACAUCCCAAGGAUACAAGUGCCGAGAUGACCGCAGCUGGAAAUUCUCCCAAAGCAAGCAGGGAAAACUGCAUAACUUCUCCGGUAGCAGGCUGUGCAGCCUGGAUUGGGCAACACAGGGAAGCAAGAGCAGAUUUAGAAGGGAACAAGGAUUUGCCCUCGCUGUGCGGAGAAAAGCAGGAAGGAGAAGGGGGUGCCCGUUGCCUUAGGCUAUUGCAAUAUCUUGGACUGGACAGACCACAGGAAACAGGGACUAUUGUAUGGAGAACAAAGAAUAUCCAAGGAAGAACACAAUAGCUAUUCCCCCUAUCUACCAGGGCUCCAGGCUUGAGUUACCUGCUGGAUUUAACUCCUUCUUCCCAGUGCACGCACCACUUCUCCCUCUUUGGCUUCUCCCAUUGCUCUUUGGCUAAUGAACAGCUAAGAGGAAGGUCCAGAUCUGAUGCAAGGGGAGGAACGGGGGAAGGAGCAAGACGUUGUGUCGGGCAAAGGGGAUUCUCAGCCGUUCAGCAGGAACUUCCCCCCGCGCCAGCUAAGCUGCGCAGCCGCCCGAACGCUGCUAGUGAAACAGCGAGAGCAGGACAGGAUGAGCGGAGAUGAGCCUGACUCAGACCAAGAGAGCCGUUUGAGCUCAGGCAGCGCCCUGGUACAACCCCCACCCCCUGAGCACAGUCAGCACACACAUCGCUUGCAGAAAGCGGCUGGAGGGGCCCAGGAGAAGCUGGCAAGGAGGCAAACCAGGAGCCGCAGGGCCACGCCGGGGUGGGGAAGCAACAGAGGAGAGCCUGCACGGCACCGAUUCUGGGCACUGCACACGGUGGGGGACACACACAAGCGAAAAAGGAGCCAAGUUUGGGGGAGCCCCAGGUGCCCCAAAGCAGCCAGCCAAGGAGGACUUGGCAGGAGGCGAGCCGGCCCGCUGCGGCAGACAGAUCAGCAGCCCCCCCCGGGGCCACCGCCCCUUCCAGCGGCGCGGGCUCUUCUGCUGCCUCCUUCUUCUCCCCCCCCGCCCCAGCCCUCGCUUUGCUCUGCAGGAGUUUAACGCUCUCUCGAGCUCCUUGUCCCUCAAGUGCUGCACAAGAGCCGUCACUCAGCGGCUUGGCUUGUCAGGCGGGCACCUCUCCGGGCUGCGGCCCCCCUGGCUUCACGGCCCUCAUCUCUAGGCAACCUGACCUGGACACCGCCAGCUCCGGCUCCCCCGUUCCCAUGGAAAGUGCCACACAAGAGGCUGCGAAGCCUUUUCUCCGCGCUGGGAGAAAAGGGGCUUUGUUAGCUUGCCCAGGGGGACAGCGUGAGAGCCGAGACUCGGGUCUCUGGGAAUCCGAACGGACAAACGAGGCAAAACAAAACAAAAAAAAACCCAGAAGAAAGCCGGAGCUCACAAGAGAGGGAGGGGGAAGGAAAGGAAGAAAAAAACCUCAGCCAUUCCCAGGAUCAUCUGUAGGUGCUCAAAGAGUAUUCCCCCCCCCCAUCAUCCCCACUCUCCACCCCCUCGCAGUGACAGCAGAGCAUAAAGGAGGUUUCCGUUAAAUAACUGUACCGGGCGGGAAACGGUAGAGCUGCUGCCAGGCCCAGGAGACCCGAGCAAAGGGACAGAUCCCAGGCAAGAAGCAGCAGUGCUCAGACUAGCUCGCAGGAGGAGCAGAGCGUGCCCGGCCGGUCCUACAGCCACCAGUCACCCAGGGCACAGACCGUCCCGUUCCCAAUCGCCUCCCCUCCCUUCCCCCCAGCCACUUCAGACUUCCUAAAAAACAGUUCACAAGCGAGAAAUAUGACUCCAGGCUCAGCCAGGGCCCAGGAGGAAACACGUGAAGACAGAAGGAUGGGAAGGUCUGGACCAUGAGUUACUUGGGAAGCUGUCUAAUGAUGAAAAAGUGUCCUACGAGCAGAUGGCAAGGCACAUUUCCUAAGGAAACAGGAUUUUUUUUUCCUCUUCUCUUUUUGCUUCAGUACUUUGGAGGGCGCGUAAGGGGCCGAGUGCAGGGCUUCAGCACAGUCAUGAAUCAGACUAGCUGCAACUGCCCCCAGCCCAGGCGAGCUGC